This 431-nucleotide unclassified non-coding RNA is filed under the name Melitaea cinxia (Glanville fritillary). Its description in RNAcentral is "misc RNA ENSMCXG00005000574.1". Lineage: Eukaryota; Metazoa; Arthropoda; Insecta; Lepidoptera; Nymphalidae. The record is from RNAcentral.
CAAAAUUGUAGAAUUAUUCUGUUUAAUAAAUUAUAAAAAUAUAAUGUUAUAGAAUUAAUUCCGUUGAAAAAAAUAAUUUUUCUGUAAUGAUAAUAAAUUUUUACGAUUGUUAUUGAUUCGUUAGUUUAAAAAGUAAUUGAAAACUACAACGAUGUUGAUAAGGAUUGUUUUUUGUUUAAGUUUUAUUUUUUAUUUUUCAAAUGGCGUCUUCGGGGAUCCGUUGCAUGUUACCUUCGAAAAUAAUAUCGACAGAAGGUCAUUCACGCUUUCCAUGAAGUCCUUGAAGUUCCUAAGAAAAGUCCCCGAAAAACGGAGAAUUGUGAACUUUAAACACUUACCGUCGGCAUUAAAUUAAUUUUGGAAAUAAAUUUCAUACUUAAGAAAGUGUUUUAAUAUUAGUAAUAUUGAUUGCGCUGAAAACCCACGAUUUG